Erigeron canadensis is the source of this 1140-nucleotide long non-coding RNA. RefSeq lists it as uncharacterized. The transcript has 3 exons. The record is from RefSeq and is a predicted model, not a curated record. Lineage: Eukaryota; Viridiplantae; Streptophyta; Magnoliopsida; Asterales; Asteraceae.
AACAUACUGCCGAUGCUAUGAUCAUGUGCUUUGACGAGACGAAAGACAAGCUCGCAAAAACCACUACUUGCACUACUUAAUGGAGAAGCCGGGGAUACGGGUGAUGAGUCGUGCCUCCCACAGUGUUGGUAGGACUUCCGUUGUCAUAUGCUUGCUGUCACUGAAUUCACUAGAAAUUUGGAGGGCUUUGGUCAUGCUACGAUUUUUGUGAAGGCUUUUGAGGUUACAGACAAGGGAGAGAAGACUGGUAUCACAAAUGGCCCACGGAUGAUAACUUGUAUGGAGAGGAUGGUUACAAGUCUUCUGCACGUCUUGGUGAUUAUCUGAGAAAGAUCGGUGGUUUGUGUCCCAUUUCAGCUAUUUAAAGAGAAGAAGAAAGACAAGACCAAAAAAUUGUGCACAGGUUGAAAACUAUGUUGGAAGAAAAGAGUAAAAGAACUGAAGAAAUUCAAAAUCAGGUACCAGUUAUCUGCAUAUAUAAUGGUCGGCAUCUUAAUUCUAAUUUUACCUUGAGUGAAUAUGAAAAGGAUGCAAGAGAAGGCUAAUGAGCAGCUUACAUCAUUGUGUGUGUUUGGAUAAGCAAUCUUCGAAGUGAUGUUUUUUGGAUUACUUUUACAUCAAGUUUUACCUAAAUUAGUAAACAUAUAUGCCAGAAACAAAAAGAAAUAAAAGCUUCACAGCCAAAUCAUCGAGCUUUGGGAAAACUUGAUGAGACGCAGCAGCAGCAGCGUCUGGAGAUACAGAUGAACCAAAUGAAGGAGGAGCGCUGUCGGUGAUGAAACACAUGACUGGUGAAGCUAAUGAAGCAAAAAUGCAGUCGAUUCAAGAAGUUCUGAAGAAAACAGAAGAGGAAGCAGAAGACUUGGAAGGGGUUCUUAAUUAACAAUUGAUAAUCAAAGAAUGGUGGAGCAAGCUAGUAAUUAAAGAGCUGAUAAGAAAGUAAGCGUUGUCAAAUUGUUCCUAUUUUGUUUACCUUGAGCAACCACUUAUCUUAGCUGAGUAAAGUUGGACGAACCUGAACCUGAACCUGAUGUUACUUGAUUUGAUUGUAAUAGUAUAAACAUGUGUUUGACGAUUCAAUUCUUUUUGUUCAAAUAUGUAACAGAAUAAAUGUACAACAGAUUAUGUGACCUUUUAUUC